AGCGAACGCUGGCGGCAGGCCUAACACAUGCAAGUCGAACGAACUCUUCGGAGUUAGUGGCGGACGGGUGAGUAACACGUGGGAACGUGCCUUUUGGUUCGGAAUAACUCAGGGAAACUUGUGCUAAUACCGAAUGUGCCCUUCGGGGGAAAGAUUUAUCGCCAUUAGAGCGGCCCGCGUCUGAUUAGCUAGUUGGUGAGGUAACGGCUCACCAAGGCGACGAUCAGUAGCUGGUCUGAGAGGAUGACCAGCCACACUGGGACUGAGACACGGCCCAGACUCCUACGGGAGGCAGCAGUGGGGAAUCUUGCGCAAUGGGCGAAAGCCUGACGCAGCCAUGCCGCGUGAAUGAUGAAGGUCUUAGGAUUGUAAAAUUCUUCCACCGGGGACGAUAAUGACGGUACCCGGAGAAGAAGCCCCGGCUAACUUCGUG
Molecule: ribosomal RNA, 433 nt
Filed under: uncultured bacterium
Lineage: Bacteria
Description: partial 16S ribosomal RNA
Rfam family: Bacterial small subunit ribosomal RNA
Source: RNAcentral